This 219-nucleotide long non-coding RNA is filed under the name Lathyrus oleraceus (garden pea). RNAcentral describes it as "Pisum sativum (pea) long non-coding RNA (PSAT_LNC011948)". The record is from RNAcentral. Lineage: Eukaryota; Viridiplantae; Streptophyta; Magnoliopsida; Fabales; Fabaceae.
UGAAAUCGUACUGUUAUCAAUGAAGAACCCAGAACCCAUAGGCAUUCUCUAGCCCAUCGCUAGGCGAGCCUGCAGCGAAGCUUCGCUAAGCGAAACAGUAGCGAUCGCGAUAGUAGCUGCUUUUUCUGUUUGCUCUCUAAUUUGUUUUGUGUUUGUUAUGACAUGUUUUCUAUUGCAUCCGGGCACAUGUUUUAGUAUGUAUGUCAUGUCUUGAUGUAU